This 94-nucleotide transfer RNA is filed under the name Xanthomonas nasturtii. RNAcentral's name for it is "tRNA-OTHER". Lineage: Bacteria; Pseudomonadati; Pseudomonadota; Gammaproteobacteria; Lysobacterales; Lysobacteraceae. The record is from RNAcentral.
GCCGGCAGACCUUCCGAUUCCAAAUCAUGGCAAGCCUUGCACUGCCUGACUUGUAAGCGGUAGGUCCCCAGUUCGAAUCCGGGUGCCGGCACCA